CUGCAUGGUCUCCCAGACCUCAAUAGCCAUGACAGAAUUCCAGGGAGUUUCACAGAUCAAAGAACCACGAAGAUGCCAUGAUAUUUCAUUGAUCCUGAGGCCUGCUCCACAGGAGCUGGAAUGAGUGGUGCAGAGGAAGCCAGGGAGAUGAGGGGCUAAUCCGAGAUCAAGAUCCAAACUAGAGGGCCCCAUGGGCCAGUGUACCACCAAUAAUCAACAACACAAAACUAAGAGCAGUCACUGUGAUCAAAGAACAAUUUCUUCCUAGGAGACUCAACUCUAUAAAAGUACAAACUGUGUAGCUGCUGGAACUUCCCUGCAGUGUGCUACUGCCUUGGAAACAGUCCUGAGGGCAGACCAAGCAUCAGGGCCUGGACAGCUCCAAUCGUAGGGGACACCACCCUUGGCUACCUCUGGGCUCUGCUUGUUUAGAGAGCUUGAAGUCUCUGCAUGCUUCUUCCCACUGAAUAGCAG
RNAcentral lists this long non-coding RNA (474 nucleotides) under Heterocephalus glaber (naked mole-rat). RNAcentral describes it as "lncRNA (ENSHGLG00000042830.1)". The record is from RNAcentral. Lineage: Eukaryota; Metazoa; Chordata; Mammalia; Rodentia; Bathyergidae.